CGACCUACGGGAGGCAGCAGUGGGGAAUAUUGGGCAAUGGGCGCAAGCCUGACCCAGCAAUGCCGCGUGAAGGAAGAAGGCCCUCGGGUUGUAAACUUCUUUUAUCAGGGACGAAGGAUGUGACGGUACCUGAUGAAUAAGCUCCGGCUAACUACGUGCCAGCAGCCGCGGUAAUACGGAGGAUGCGAGCGUUAUCCGGAUUUAUUGGGUUUAAAGGGUGCGUAGGCGGAAUGCCAAGUCAGCGGUAAAAUCGCGGGGCUCAACCUCGCUCCGCCGUUGAAACUGGCGUUCUUGAGUGGGCGAGA
RNAcentral lists this ribosomal RNA (305 nucleotides) under uncultured bacterium. RNAcentral describes it as "bacterial SSU rRNA". It matches the Rfam family "Bacterial small subunit ribosomal RNA", at positions 333 to 655 of the family's 1533-position model. The record is from RNAcentral.